This 763-nucleotide long non-coding RNA is filed under the name Olea europaea subsp. europaea. Lineage: Eukaryota; Viridiplantae; Streptophyta; Magnoliopsida; Lamiales; Oleaceae. The record is from RNAcentral.
CUACACCAUUGAAAGUUAAGUCCAUCAAAGUUCUUUAAAGAGAGAAAAAGAAUAGAGAGAACACUAUAUUGAAAACAUCAGAGAUAAAAUGGCAGACAUAGCAAUUUUGGUAGCAGAAGAAUAUGGAAGGAGGGUUAAUAUUUCAAGAAAAAAUGGUGAAAACAUUGAUUUUUUCUCAUGCGUGGCAGUAUUGGGUCAGAGGAUUGAAGCUGGGUCUUCUUCUUGGAUGAAGAAAAAGCUUAAAGAUGAGAAAUUAAUGGAGUUUUUACAGAUUAAAGGGUUUCUUUUGGAGCCCAAAAGCCAGAUGAGUCUUGCAGCUAGUAAUGGUCUCUUUUCUGCUUAAGAAGUUCCCUUUUUUCCUUCUUGGAGUCGUAUAUAUUUUCACUUUUCUAAGCAAUUAUCUUUAGGUUAAAGCUUUUAUGUACAGAGAUUUUUUUAUAGAAGUCUUAUCGGCCCCUCACAUGUGGUCAGUCCCACGUGGGCUCUGUUGUAAUAAAAAAUGAAGAAAAAAAUCUCGACUCCACCCUUUUGUGAGAACCUAUAAGGGUUCUGUAACGUGCUGGGCUGUACGCCCAGCAUUGCCGUUAUCUUUAUCAUCUAUCAUCCCAAAAUUCUCGUAUUAUUACAUCUAGUUGAGCAUCAAACUACUGGAUACAAUAUAUUUAGUUAAAUAAAUUUUGUGACUUUGUAUUUAAAUCACUCUAUCAUUUAAUGUCAUAUAAUCGUCGUUUAGACUGAUAUUUAACACUAGUGAUGAUGAUUG